AGAGUUUGAUCCUGGCUCAGGAUUAACGCUAGCGGCAGGCAUAAUACAUGCAAGUUGAACGAGAUUAUUUUUAGCAAUAGAACUAGUUUAGUGGCGCACGGGUGCGUAACGCGUAUGCAACCUACCUUAAACAGGGGAAUAGCCUCUCGAAAGAGAGAUUAAUACCGCAUAACAUAUAUUUAGAGCAUUCUAGAUAUAUCAAACCUACGGGGGUUUAAGAUGGGCAUGCGUGACAUUAGCUAGUUGGUGAGGUAACGGCUCACCAAGGCAACGAUGUCUAGGGGGUCUGAGAGGAUGUCCCCCCACACUGGUACUGAGACACGGACCACACUCCUACGGGAGGCAGCAGUGAGGAAUAUUGGACAAUGGGUGAGAGCCUGAUCCACCCAUCCCGCGUGAAGGAUGACGGCCCUAUGGGUUGUAAACUUCUUUUGUAUAGGGAUAAACCUACUCUCGUGAGAGUAGCUGAAGGUACUAUACGAAUAAGCACCGGCUAACUCCGUGCCAGCAGCCGCGGUAAUACGGAGGAUCCAAGCGUUAUCCGGAAUCAUUGGGUUUAAAGGGUCCGUAGGCGGUCUUAUAAGUCAGUGGUGAAAGCCCAUCGCUCAACGAUGGAACUGCCAUUGAUACUGUAAGACUUGAAUACUUAGGAAGUAACUAGAAUAUGUAGUUGUAGCGGUGAAAUGCUUAGAUAUUACAUGGAAUACCAGUUGCGAAGGCAGGUUACUACUAAGUGAUUGACGCUGAUGGACGACGCGUGGAGGAGCGAACAUGAUUAGAUACCCUGUAGUCACGCGUAAACUAUGAGAGCUAGCGGUGGGAGGGAUCUACCCUCCAGUGCAGCAGCUAACGCAUUCAGCUCUCGGCUUGAGGAGUACGUCGCAGAUCAACUCAGUACUGACGGCGCAUGCGAUGGAUCAGUGGAAUUACUC
This 932-nucleotide ribosomal RNA is filed under the name uncultured bacterium. RNAcentral's name for it is "bacterial SSU rRNA". It matches the Rfam family "Bacterial small subunit ribosomal RNA", at positions 8 to 952 of the family's 1533-position model. The record is from RNAcentral.